RNA transcript from Acanthochromis polyacanthus (spiny chromis), 2917 nucleotides. It is a transcript of the gene named fibroblast growth factor receptor substrate 2-like, with no coding region annotated. The transcript has 2 exons. The record is from RefSeq and is a predicted model, not a curated record. Lineage: Eukaryota; Metazoa; Chordata; Actinopteri; Pomacentridae.
AAAAUACUGCAGUGCAAAGGAAAAAUAAUGCAACACAGUAAAAAUACAAUAACUCACAAUAUUGCUGAUACACAAAAUAACAAAAUGCAAACUACAAAAAUACUGCAGUAGUCAGACAAGAGAUACUGCAACACAAAGAGCAAAAAUACUACAAUACUUAGAAAUAUUUCAAUAUACACAGCAAAUAUACUGCAGUUAAGAGUAAAAAUACUGCAGUUGCCAGAGUGUGUUACUGUGUGUGUUGUGUUGUUAUGUUGUGUGUUUUUAUUGUGUUAUUAUGUUGUGUGUUUGUAUUGUUGUGUUAUGUUAUGUUGUGUGUUUGUAUUGUUGUGUUAUGUUAUGUUAUGUGUUUGUAUUGUUGUGUUAUUUUGUUGUGUUUGUAUUUUCGUGUUAUGUUGUGUGUUUGUAUUGUUGUGUUAUGUUGUGUGUUUGUAUUUUCGUGUUAUGUUGUGUGUUUGCAUUGUUGUUUUGUUAUGUUGUGUGUUUGUAUUGUUGUGUUAUUAUGUUGUGUGUUUGUAUUGUUGUGUUAUUAUGUUGUGUGUUUGUAUUGUUGUGUUAUGUUGUGUGUUUGUAUUGUGUUAUGUUGUGUGUUUGUAUUGUUGUGUUAUUUUGUUGUGUUUGUAUUUUCGUGUUAUGUUGUGUGUUUGCAUUGUUGUGUUAUGUUGUGUGUUUUUAUUGUGUUGUUAUGUUGUGUGUUUGUAUUUUUGUGUUAUGUUAUGUUGUGUGUUUGUAUUGUUAUGUUAUGUGUUUGUAUAGUUGUGUUAUUUUGUUGUGUUUGUAUUUUCGUGUUAUGUUGUGUGUUUGCAUUGUUGUGUUGUUAUGUUGUGUGUUUGUAUUGUUGUGUUAUUAUGUUGUGUGUUUGUAUUGUUGUGUUAUUAUGUUGUGUGUUUGUAUUGUGUUAUGUUGUGUGUUUGUAUUGUUGUGUUAUUAUGUUGUGUGUUUGUAUUGUUGUGUUAUGUUGUGUGUUUGUAUUGUGUUAUUAUGUUGUGUGUUUGUAUUGUGUUAUGUUGUGUGUUUGUAUUGUUGUGUUAUUUUGUUGUGUUUGUAUUUUCGUGUUAUGUUGUGUGUUUGCAUUGUUGUGUUAUGUUGUGUGUUUGUAUUGUGUUAUUAUGUUGUGUGUUUGUAUUGUUGUGUUGUUAUGUUGUGUGUUUGUAUUGUUGUGUUAUUAUGUUGUGUGUUUGUAUUGUUUGUUAUGUUGUGUGUUGGAAUUGUUGUGUUAUGUUGUGUGUUUGUAUUGUGUUGUUAUGUUGUGUGUUUGUAUUGUUGUGUUAUUAUGUUGUGUGUUUGUAUUGUUGUGUUAUUAUGUUGUGUGUUUGUAUUGUUUUGUUAUGUUGUGUGUUGGAAUUGUUGUGUUAUGUUGUGUGUUUGUAUUGUUGUGUUAUUAUGUUGUGUGUUUGUAUUGUUUUGUUAUGUUGUGUGUUGGAAUUGUUGUGUUAUUAUGUUGUGUGUUUAUAUUGUUGUUAUUAUGUUGUGUGUUUGUAUUGUUGUGUUAUUAUGUUGUGUGUUUAUAUUGUUGUUAUUAUGUUGUGUGUUUGUAUUGUUGUGUUAUUAUGUUGUGUGUUUGUAUUGUUUUGUUAUGUUGUGUGUUUGCAUUGUUGUGUUAUGUUGUGUGUUUGUAUUGUGUUAUUAUGUUGUGUGUUUGUAUUGUUGUGUUAUUUUGUUGUGUUUGUAUUUUCGUGUUAUGUUGUGUGUUUGCAUUGUUGUGUUAUGUUGUGUGUUUGUAUUGUGUUAUUAUGUUGUGUGUUUGUAUUGUUGUGUUGUUAUGUUGUGUGUUUGUAUUGUUGUGUUAUUAUGUUGUGUGUUUGUAUUGUUUGUUAUGUUGUGUGUUGGAAUUGUUGUGUUAUGUUGUGUGUUUGUAUUGUGUUGUUAUGUUGUGUGUUUGUAUUGUUGUGUUAUUAUGUUGUGUGUUUGUAUUGUUGUGUUAUUAUGUUGUGUGUUUGUAUUGUUUUGUUAUGUUGUGUGUUGGAAUUGUUGUGUUAUGUUGUGUGUUUGUAUUGUUGUGUUAUUAUGUUGUGUGUUUGUAUUGUUUUGUUAUGUUGUGUGUUGGAAUUGUUGUGUUAUUAUGUUGUGUGUUUAUAUUGUUGUUAUUAUGUUGUGUGUUUGUAUUGUGUUGUUAUGUUGUGUGUUUUUAUUGUGUUAUUAUGUUGUCUGUUUGUAUUGUGUUAUUAUGUUGUGUGUUUGUAUUGUGUUGUUAUGUUGUGUGCUUUUAUUGUGUUAUUAUGUUGUCUGUUUGUAUUGUGUUAUUAUGUUGUCUGUUUGUAUUGUGUUGUUAUGUUGUGUGUUUUUAUUGUGUUGCUAAAAGUGUUGUUUUGUGUUUGUAUUGUUGUGUUAUUAUGUUGUGUGUUUGUAUUGUUGUGUCAGUCUCGCGGCCAGAGGCCCCUGCUGUCCCGGACCGCUCUCUGCGCAUGCUCGUUGUGGCAGUUCUCAGCACAUUGAAGUGUCGGAAGUUUAGCGGAGUUUUAGCCGACUAGCAGCAGAACGAAGCUCCGAGCGAACAAACUCGUUUUUGAGCUGCAAAAAGUGCGUUUGGACGGAACCCCGCAGCCCACAGUGAAGCCCGGAGGCCCGUCGAUGGAUUCGGCCCAUUUCCCUCUGUUGAAUCUCCGCACACGAGAGCUUUAGCGGCGUUUGAAAGAAGUUGUGAUUGUUUUUUUUGGCGCUCUGGCGGCGCAGAGGAAAGAUGGAGGAUCUGCGGCUGUAGCAGCGGCUAACGCUAGCUGGCCCGCCGCUCCAGUGGCAGCACCGUCCGCGGAGGAAUCUCAGCCGCUCCGCCGCCCGAAGGACGUCCCAAAACUUUGGAUGGUUUGAUCGAACACGCUACCGAAGCCCGAUCUGCUGUUUUUGUCCAGGACCUCUAAAGAAUGAGAGUCCUUCAGGCUCUGAGGAUGGAAGCAGCGCUACUGGAGGCAGGAUCUAG